This 492-nucleotide ribosomal RNA is filed under the name uncultured bacterium. RNAcentral's name for it is "partial 16S ribosomal RNA". It matches the Rfam family "Bacterial small subunit ribosomal RNA", at positions 29 to 507 of the family's 1533-position model. The record is from RNAcentral.
AGUGAACGCUGGCGGUAGGCCUAACACAUGCAAGUCGAACGGCAGCACAGUAAGAGCUUGCUCUUACGGGUGGCGAGUGGCGGACGGGUGAGGAAUACAUCGGAAUCUACUUUUUCGUGGGGGAUAACGUAGGGAAACUUACGCUAAUACCGCAUACGACCUACGGGUGAAAGCAGGGGAUCUUCGGACCUUGCGCGAUUGAAUGAGCCGAUGUCGGAUUAGCUAGUUGGCGGGGUAAAGGCCCACCAAGGCGACGAUCCGUAGCUGGUCUGAGAGGAUGAUCAGCCACACUGGGACUGAGACACGGUCGAGACUCCUACAAGAGGCAGCAGUGGGGAAUAUUGGACAAUGGGCGCGAGCCUGAUCCAGCCAUACCGCGUGGGUGAAGAAGGCCUUCGGGUUGUAAAGCCCUUUUGUUGAGAAAGAAAAGCAGCAGGUUAAUACCCCGCUGUUCUGACGGUACCCACAAAAUAAGCACCGGCUAACUUCGUG